AUGCUCGCUUCCUCAGCACAUCUACUAAAAUUGGAAUAAUAGAAGAUUAGCUUGGUCCCUGUGCAAGGAUGACAUGCAGAUUCGUGAAGUGUUCCAUAUUUUC
This is a small nuclear RNA of Zalophus californianus (California sea lion), 103 nucleotides long. Lineage: Eukaryota; Metazoa; Chordata; Mammalia; Carnivora; Otariidae. The record is from Ensembl.